Macaca mulatta (Rhesus monkey) is the source of this 2455-nucleotide non-coding RNA. NCBI's taxonomy places the organism in Eukaryota, Metazoa, Chordata, Mammalia, Primates, Cercopithecidae. The record is from RefSeq and is a predicted model, not a curated record.
UUUGAUUCAAAUUCUUUGUUUUUUUCCUCCCAUCUUGCACAUUCCAGAAAGUCCUAUGAGUUUGAAGAUUUACUGCAGUCUUCCUCUGAGAGCAGCAGGGUGGACUGGUACGCGCAGACUAAGCUGGGGCUGACACGUACUUUAUCGGAGGAGAACGUCUAUGAAGACAUUCUAGAUCCGCCAAUGAAGGAGAACCCUUAUGAGACAUCGAGUUACACGGUCGCUGCCUGGGAAAGAAGUGUGUCUUGAAUUUUCUGCUUCUCCCACCUCUUCCAUCCUGACACGCUCACCAAGCAGUCAUUGUCCAAACCUGCUUUUUUCCGACAAAAUUCAGAGAGGAGGAACUUCAAACUGCUGGACACUAGGAAGCUGAGUCGGGAUGGAACUGGGUCCCCUUCCAAAAUCAGCCCCCCCUCCACUCCCAGCAGCCCUGACGACACUUUCUUUAACCUUGGAGACCCACAGAACGGCAGGAAGAAGAGAAAGAUACCUAAGCUGGUGUUGCGAAUCAACGCCAUUUAUGAGGUCCGGAGAGGAAAGAAACGGGUGAAGAGGCUGUCCCAGUCAAUGGAGAGCAACUCAGGAAAGAACGUUGAUCUGUGCUGCCACACAGAAAGAGUUUCCUACAUGAGAAGAACUCACAUUUGCAACUUUCUUCCUUGUUCUUUUCUUCUAGUGACAGAUGAGAACAGUGAGUCUGACAGUGACACAGAGGAGAAGCUGAAAGCUCACAGCCAGCGCCUGGUCAACGUGAAGUCCCGCCUGAAGCAGGCGCCUCGGUACCCAUCACUUGCCCGGGAGCUCAUCGAGUACCAGGAGAGGCAGCUCUUCGAGUAUUUUGUGGUUGUGUCUUUGCACAAGAAGCAGGCUGGGGCUGCCUACGUACCAGAACUCACCCAACAGUUCCCUCUGAAGUUGGAAAGAUCUUUCAAGUUCAUGAGAGAGGCUGAGGACCAACUGAAGGCCAUUCCCCAGUUCUGUUUCCCUGAUGCCAAGGAUUGGGUUCCUUCCAGCAGUUCACCAGUGAAACAUUCUCAUUUGUCUUAACUGGAGAAGAUGGAGCAGAAGGUUCGGUUACUGCCGAAGACUGCUGCCUGGAGGCAAAGGGAAGCGCCUUCCUGAAGUUUACUGCAUUGUGAGCCGCCUCGGAUGCUUCAGCCUCUUUUCAAAGAUAUUGGAUGAGGUGGAAAAAAGACGAGGCAUCUCUCCUGCCCUGGUUCAACCACUCAUGAGAAGUGUCAUGGAAGCUCCUUUCCCAGCCCUGGGCAAAACCAUCCUUGUCAAGAACUUCCUGCCAGGUUCAGGAACUGAGGUGAUCGAACUGUGCCGCCCGCUGGAUUCCCGGCUCGAGCACGUGGACUUUGAGUCUCUCUUCUCCUCCCUCAGUGUCCGCCACCUGGUCUGUGUGUUUGCCUCCCUGCUUCUGGAGAGGAGGUCAUCUUCAUCGCAGACAAGCUCAGCACCCUGUCCAAGUGCUGCCACGCAAUGGUGGCGCUGAUCUACCCCUUCACCUGGCAGCACACCUACAUCCCGGUGCUGCCACCCGCCAUGGUCGACAUCGUGUGCUCGCCAACGCCCUUCCUCAUCGGGCUGCUCUCCAGCUCUCUGCCCCUGCUCAGGGAGCUGCCGCUGGAAGAGGUCCUUGUGGUUGACCUCGUCAACAGCCGGUUCCUCAGACAGAUGGAUGAUGAAGACUCCAUUCUGCCCCGAAAGCUUCAGGUGGCCCUGGAACACAUUCUGGAACAGAGGAACGAGCUGGCUCGUGAGCAGGACGAAGGGCCCCUAGACAGCAGGCACGGCUCAGGGUCCAGCCCCUUGAAUGAGGUGGUAUCUGAAGCCUUUGUCCGCUUCUUCGUGGAGAUUGUGGGACACUACUCUUUGUUCCUGACGUCCGGUGAGCGCGAGGAGAGAACCCUGCAGCGGGAGGCCUUCCGCAAAGCUGUCUCCUCCAAGAGUCUCCGCCACUUCCUGGAGGUCUUCAUGGAGACUCAGAUGUUUCGGGGCUUCAUCCAGGAGCGGGAGCUGCGCCGGCAGGACGCCAAAGGACUGUUUGAGGUCCGAGCCCAAGAGUAUCUGGAAACACUCCCCAGUGGAGAGCACAGCGGUGUCAAUAAGUUCCUGAAGGGACUAGGCAAUAAAAUGAAAUUUCUCCACAAGAAAUAACUCUCAGCUCAGCCUCAAGGGAAAACUUCCUCCUAGUGCAGCUCCAUGCUUUAAAAACAGUUCCUGGGGGCCUUUCUGAAAGGCUGGCUCCCAGGUUGUCCUGGUGCGGAACUGGAGGCCACGGUGGCUUCUGACUGAGGCUGGGCUUUCCCCUGGAUGGGGGCCUGGAAGCCACCCGGGAGGACAGCCCCGGAAAGGGAGCCCGAGACCAGGCGUGUCGUGGACAUGCAAAUGGGUUGUUUCGGCGGUUGGGGUUUUUUUUAUCUUAGAUAUUAAAAGUAAGAAAAAUGUG